Aphis gossypii (cotton aphid) is the source of this 2701-nucleotide long non-coding RNA. RefSeq lists it as uncharacterized. The record is from RefSeq and is a predicted model, not a curated record. The transcript is spliced from 12 exons. Lineage: Eukaryota; Metazoa; Arthropoda; Insecta; Hemiptera; Aphididae.
UGUUCCACUGAUUUCAUAGGAACACUCUGUUUUAAAAUUUUAUCAUAAUUAUCACAAAUGGUUUUGUGUUAUGGUUAACAUUGCUUCCAUUAGUGAGCUAUACGUGCAGUUUAUCUGUGUAAUGUUGCAUUGCGCAUAACAUAUUCCUACUAGUUUCUAUUAUUGAUUAACUUUACCCUUAUAUGAUAAUUUAAUUUAUGAUUUUAUUUUUUAGUGAGCUGAAAUACAAUACACAACAGCUUUCAAGGGAAAUGUAUCUGGAUUCAUAUCACUUUGUCUCUUCAAAUCAUUCGUCGUUUUCCUGUUUACUUUGGAUCUUAUACAUGUUAAUUUUUCAUCACAUUAAUGUGUAUAGCUAGUUAAUUUGAGCUGAAAUACAAUACACAACAGCUUUCAAGGGAAAUGUAUCUGGAUUCAUAUCACUUUGUCUCCUCAAAUCAUUCGUCGUUUUCCUGUUUACUUUGGAUCUUAUACAUGUUAAUUUUUCAUCACAUUAAUGUGUAUAGCUAGUUAAUUUGAGCUGAAAUACAAUACACAACAGCUUUCAAGGGAAAUGUAUCUGGAUUCAUAUCACUUUGUCUCUUCAAAUCAUUCGUCGUUUUCCUGUUUACUUUGGAUCUUAUACAUGUUAAUUUUUCAUCACAUUAAUGUGUAUAGCUAGUUAAUUUGAGCUGAAAUACAAUACACAACAGCUUUCAAGGGAAAUGUAUCUGGAUUCAUAUCACUUUGUCUCCUCAAAUCAUUCGUCGUUUUCCUGUUUACUUUGGAUCUUAUACAUGUUAAUUUUUCAUCACAUUAAUGUGUAUAGCUAGUUAAUUUGAGCUGAAAUACAAUACACAACAGCUUUCAAGGGAAAUGUAUCUGGAUUCAUAUCACUUUGUCUCUUCAAAUCAUUCGUCGUUUUCCUGUUUACUUUGGAUCUUAUACAUGUUAAUUUUUCAUCACAUUAAUGUGUAUAGCUAGUUAAUUUGAGCUGAAAUACAAUACACAACAGCUUUCAAGGGAAAUGUAUCUGGAUUCAUAUCACUUUGUCUCUUCAAAUCAUUCGUCGUUUUCCUGUUUACUUUGGAUCUUAUACAUGUUAAUUUUUCAUCACAUUAAUGUGUAUAGCUAGUUAAUUUGAGCUGAAAUACAAUACACAACAGCUUUCAAGGGAAAUGUAUCUGGAUUCAUAUCACUUUGUCCUCAAAUCAUUCGUCGUUUUCCUGUUUACUUUGGAUCUUAUACAUGUUAAUUUUUCAUCACAUUAAUGUGUAUAGCUAGUUAAUUUGAGCUGAAAUACAAUACACAACAGCUUUCAAGGGAAAUGUAUCUGGAUUCAUAUCACUUUGUCUCUUCAAAUCAUUCGUCGUUUUCCUGUUUACUUUGGAUCUUAUACAUGUUAAUUUUCAUCACAUUAAUGUGUAUAGCUAGUUAAUUUGAGCUGAAAUACAAUACACAACAGCUUUCAAGGGAAAUGUAUCUGGAUUCAUAUCACUUUGUCUCCUCAAAUCAUUCGUCGUUUCCUGUUUACUUUGGAUCUUAUACAUGUUAAUUUUUCAUCACAUUAAUGUGUAUAGCUAGUUAAUUUGGGCUGAAUUUCAAGACAUCAGUUUUCAAGAAAAAUGGAUUUGGAUUCAAAGACAUUGAUUUUUAAAAACAUUCAUUAUUUUGCUGAACACUUAUGAUCUGAUGUAUGUAAAUUAUUCAUCACAUUACUCUGAAAGGUAGGUAAUUUAUUGUAAAAAUGCCUGGGUGUGCUGCUAUUGGGUGCUCGAACUCAUACAAAAAAAAGGGUUUCUUAUGAAAUAUUUUCCAAAAGAACCGGCUUAAAGGAAAUUGUGGCUAUCAAAAAUGAAGAGAGAUAAUUGGAUUCCAAAUAAUUACUCAUGUCUUUGUGAAUGAGCUGAAUUACAAGGCACAACAGUUUUCAAGAAAAAGGAUUUGGAUUCUAAGUACAUUAAACUUUUAAAAUCGUUUUGCUGAACACUUAUGAUCAAAUAUAUAUUAAUUUUUCAUCACAUUAAUCUGUUAAGCUAGUUAAUUGUAAGUUUAUUUAAGUUCUAAGUUUCAAUAGGAUUUAGUUAUUAACUAAAAUAGAAUUUUAAAAACACAGUAUUCUGUUUUCAUCAUUUGAACGGGAAUAGUUCAUUUUAAAUCUGUUCUAUUACACAGUUUGCCUUUUUAUUCUAUGUAGUCCUAAUAUUAUUUAUAUAGACUUAAAAAACGCCAGCCUUUGAUAAAAUUAAAAAUAAUAUGUUCCCAUUAGGAACUUAUAAUUGUCAUUAUCAUUUAGAAACAUAUGUCGAUGAUAACCUUUUACUGAUUAAAUUAUACUGAAUAUUAAUAAUUUGUCAAAUGAAGGCUGAUAUAAGUACCUACAAUAUAUUAUAUUAUAUUAUAUUUGUGCACUGUUUACAGUUCAUGUUUCAUUUUUUUUACUUGUACGCUUACACUUACACUUACUUUUUGGACACGAUUUGCAUGUCUAUCUUAUAUAAUAAUAACCUUGUAUCCCUACCUAUACUUAUGCCAAAAAUUGCUAAAAAAAUUCAACUUAAAAAAAAUAGAUAAUUUUUGUUGUAUAUCAAAAGUAUAUAAGUAUUUAUCAAGUAUUGUAUAAUUAUUUUUUUUACAUUUUUACAAUUUUUUAUAUAUAUAUUUUUUUUAAUAUUUUAAACAAAUUGACAAUAUACAUUAAAUGGCAGCAUUGCACAGACAA